This is a non-coding RNA of Potamilus streckersoni, 68 nucleotides long. NCBI's taxonomy places the organism in Eukaryota, Metazoa, Mollusca, Bivalvia, Unionida, Unionidae. The record is from the annotation of a GenBank genome assembly.
GAUGGCUUAGUGGUUAGAGCGUCCACCUCUUUUGCGGGAGGUCGCGGGUUCGUACCCCGGCCUGUUCG